RNAcentral lists this ribosomal RNA (2925 nucleotides) under Escherichia coli. RNAcentral's name for it is "bacterial LSU rRNA". It matches the Rfam family "Bacterial large subunit ribosomal RNA". The record is from RNAcentral. Lineage: Bacteria; Pseudomonadati; Pseudomonadota; Gammaproteobacteria; Enterobacterales; Enterobacteriaceae.
GGGUUGUGAGGUUAAGCGACUAAGCGUACACGGUGGAUGCCCUGGCAGUCAGAGGCGAUGAAGGACGUGCUAAUCUGCGAUAAGCGUCGGUGAGGUGAUAUGAACCGUUAUAACCGGCGAUUUCCGAAUGGGGAAACCCAGUGUGUUUCGACACACUAUCAUUAACUGAAUCCAUAGGUUAAUGAGGCGAACCGGGGGAACUGAAACAUCUAAGUACCCCGAGGAAAAGAAAUCAACCGAGAUUCCCCCAGUAGCGGCGAGCGAACGGGGAGGAGCCCAGAGCCUGAAUCAGUGUGUGUGUUAGUGGAAGCGUCUGGAAAGGCGCGCGAUACAGGGUGAGAGCCCCGUACACAAAAAUGCACAUAUUGUGAGCUCGAUGAGUAGGGCGGGACACGUGGUAUCCUGUCUGAAUAUGGGGGGACCAUCCUCCAAGGCUAAAUACUCCUGACUGACCGAUAGUGAACCAGUACCGUGAGGGAAAGGCGAAAAGAACCCCGGCGAGGGGAGUGAAAAAGAACCUGAAACCGUGUACGUACAAGCAGUGGGAGCCUCUUUAUGGGGUGACUGCGUACCUUUUGUAUAAUGGGUCAGCGACUUAUAUUCUGUAGCAAGGUUAACCGAAUAGGGGAGCCGAAGGGAAACCGAGUCUUAACUGGGCGUUAAGUUGCAGGGUAUAGACCCGAAACCCGGUGAUCUAGCCAUGGGCAGGUUGAAGGUUGGGUAACACUAACUGGAGGACCGAACCGACUAAUGUUGAAAAAUUAGCGGAUGACUUGUGGCUGGGGGUGAAAGGCCAAUCAAACCGGGAGAUAGCUGGUUCUCCCCGAAAGCUAUUUAGGUAGCGCCUCGUGAAUUCAUCUCCGGGGGUAGAGCACUGUUUCGGCAAGGGGGUCAUCCCGACUUACCAACCCGAUGCAAACUGCGAAUACCGGAGAAUGUUAUCACGGGAGACACACGGCGGGUGCUAACGUCCGUCGUGAAGAGGGAAACAACCCAGACCGCCAGCUAAGGUCCCAAAGUCAUGGUUAAGUGGGAAACGAUGUGGGAAGGCCCAGACAGCCAGGAUGUUGGCUUAGAAGCAGCCAUCAUUUAAAGAAAGCGUAAUAGCUCACUGGUCGAGUCGGCCUGCGCGGAAGAUGUAACGGGGCUAAACCAUGCACCGAAGCUGCGGCAGCGACACUAUGUGUUGUUGGGUAGGGGAGCGUUCUGUAAGCCUGUGAAGGUGGCCUGUGAGGGUUGCUGGAGGUAUCAGAAGUGCGAAUGCUGACAUAAGUAACGAUAAAGCGGGUGAAAAGCCCGCUCGCCGGAAGACCAAGGGUUCCUGUCCAACGUUAAUCGGGGCAGGGUGAGUCGACCCCUAAGGCGAGGCCGAAAGGCGUAGUCGAUGGGAAACAGGUUAAUAUUCCUGUACUUGGUGUUACUGCGAAGGGGGGACGGAGAAGGCUAUGUUGGCCGGGCGACGGUUGUCCCGGUUUAAGCGUGUAGGCUGGUUUUCCAGGCAAAUCCGGAAAACCAAGGCUGAGGCGUGAUGACGAGGCACUACGGUGCUGAAGCGACAAAUGCCCUGCUUCCAGGAAAAGCCUCUAAGCAUCAGGUAACAUCAAAUCGUACCCCAAACCGACACAGGUGGUCAGGUAGAGAAUACCAAGGCGCUUGAGAGAACUCGGGUGAAGGAACUAGGCAAAAUGGUGCCGUAACUUCGGGAGAAGGCACGCUGAUAUGUAGGUGAAGCGACUUGCUCGUGGAGCUGAAAUCAGUCGAAGAUACCAGCUGGCUGCAACUGUUUAUUAAAAACACAGCACUGUGCAAACACGAAAGUGGACGUAUACGGUGUGACGCCUGCCCGGUGCCGGAAGGUUAAUUGAUGGGGUUAGCGGUAACGCGAAGCUCUUGAUCGAAGCCCCGGUAAACGGCGGCCGUAACUAUAACGGUCCUAAGGUAGCGAAAUUCCUUGUCGGGUAAGUUCCGACCUGCACGAAUGGCGUAAUGAUGGCCAGGCUGUCUCCACCCGAGACUCAGUGAAAUUGAACUCGCUGUGAAGAUGCAGUGUACCCGCGGCAAGACGGAAAGACCCCGUGAACCUUUACUAUAGCUUGACACUGAACAUUGAGCCUUGAUGUGUAGGAUAGGUGGGAGGCUUUGAAGUGUGGACGCCAGUCUGCAUGGAGCCGACCUUGAAAUACCACCCUUUAAUGUUUGAUGUUCUAACGUUGGCCCGUAAUCCGGGUUGCGGACAGUGUCUGGUGGGUAGUUUGACUGGGGCGGUCUCCUCCUAAAGAGUAACGGAGGAGCACGAAGGUUGGCUAAUCCUGGUCGGACAUCAGGAGGUUAGUGCAAUGGCAUAAGCCAGCUUGACUGCGAGCGUGACGGCGCGAGCAGGUGCGAAAGCAGGUCAUAGUGAUCCGGUGGUUCUGAAUGGAAGGGCCAUCGCUCAACGGAUAAAAGGUACUCCGGGGAUAACAGGCUGAUACCGCCCAAGAGUUCAUAUCGACGGCGGUGUUUGGCACCUCGAUGUCGGCUCAUCACAUCCUGGGGCUGAAGUAGGUCCCAAGGGUAUGGCUGUUCGCCAUUUAAAGUGGUACGCGAGCUGGGUUUAGAACGUCGUGAGACAGUUCGGUCCCUAUCUGCCGUGGGCGCUGGAGAACUGAGGGGGGCUGCUCCUAGUACGAGAGGACCGGAGUGGACGCAUCACUGGUGUUCGGGUUGUCAUGCCAAUGGCACUGCCCGGUAGCUAAAUGCGGAAGAGAUAAGUGCUGAAAGCAUCUAAGCACGAAACUUGCCCCGAGAUGAGUUCUCCCUGAGACUUAGAGUCUCCUGAAGGAACGUUGAAGACGACGACGUUGAUAGGCCGGGUGUGUAAGCGCAGCGAUGCGUUGAGCUAACCGGUACUAAUGAACCGUGAGGCUUAACCUUACAACGCCGAAG